GCAUUGGAGACCAGCUGCCUCCACAAUCAUGCCCCCCUGCUUUCCUGGUAGUUGCUGUCGUUGUACCAAAAAGUGCAUAAGGGGUGGACGUUACUUAACCAUCAUUUCAAUCCUGGGGACAUGGAGUCAUUGCUAACCAGGGCCGGUCACUGCUAGCCAAAACAAGACUUCAUAGGUGCAUAUCAGAGAGCAGGUUCGGCUUCCUGGCAGCGCCAUCGACCUCCCAUCGACUGACCAGAGUCUCGG
Long non-coding RNA from Ixodes scapularis (black-legged tick), 246 nucleotides. RefSeq lists it as uncharacterized. NCBI's taxonomy places the organism in Eukaryota, Metazoa, Arthropoda, Arachnida, Ixodida, Ixodidae. The record is from RefSeq and is a predicted model, not a curated record. The transcript has 3 exons.